This 311-nucleotide unclassified non-coding RNA is filed under the name fungal sp. RNAcentral's name for it is "partial internal transcribed spacer region". The stretch from base 1 to 46 matches the Rfam family "Eukaryotic small subunit ribosomal RNA", at positions 1786 to 1831 of the family's 1831-position model. Lineage: Eukaryota; Fungi. The record is from RNAcentral. RNAcentral also lists the same sequence under 1 other name.
AAGUCGUAACAAGGUUUCCGUAGGUGAACCUGCGGAAGGAUCAUUACAAAAACAAAAUCCAAACCACACCACUGUGCUCUUUAUUGUGAGAAAAAUGUCUUUGUGUGUUGCUGUGUUGUUGGGGGAGAGGAGAAGAAUUUAUUUUUCCCCUUUCUUUCCUUCACACACACACACACAAGCUUUUCCUCACAUGUCUUUGUUUUCAAUUUUUCAUUACUCCUUGUUUAACCAACAACGGAUUACAAUGUUAAAACUUGAAACAAACAAACAAAACAAAAUGACAACUUUUAACGGUGGAUCUCUUGGCUCGU